UGCUGCACCCGGCAAAAUGAUGAAACAGCUGUAGCCAGAGGUAACUGUAAGGAUUUAGUUCAGCUGUGAGAAGGAUGCAGAAUUGCCCUUCUGGAGAUGUGUAAGCUGCAAGCUGGCUGAAUUGUGUUGCUCUGGAAACCGUCCUUUUAGUCUCUUUUCUCUAGAUUGAAAACAAAAUAUGUGUCCUCUCUCUCUUCCCAAUGACUGAAGAACCCCAAGGCGGAUUUCUGAAAUAAGGCAUGAUGAAGCUCAUUUAUACUGGCCUUGUGAUGAAUUUGGACUCUCAGCCUUUAAAGACAUAACCUACAGCCCUUCUCCCCGGUGGCUUCAAAUAAGUACAGUGAUAAACCAUAGUGUUACAGCUUACAGGAGCACGAUCUAAGAGACACUCCUCUCAUUUUAUUUCAACCUUUUAAAGACUUCAUGGCUUUGUUCCUCCUCUGGAUAACUGGCUGUCCUUGAAAAUGCCUUGUUUUCCAUUCCAUGCAGAUCAACCUUUUAAGCUGUUCUGUUGUUCAAAAGGCUCAAAGAGGAAGCCAGCUAUUGUGGGUGAAAAGCACAUCAUGCAUCCAAUGGAAAAAGAUGAGUAGGACAUUAUACAAACCCAACAGCAGAAGAGAUGCAUUUCAUGAUGUGGAGAGUUUUUGUAGAGACAUGGCUUGAGGAGAAGGGACGUGAGAAAAUACAGCUGGUGAAAUAAUAACAGCCUCGUACAAGGCCACAGUCUCCCUGAGCAAGAAGUUAGGCGAUAACAGGAGAUAAAAACAGGACCUAGAAAAACCACAAACAUCCUAGGAAUGUAGCAAUAGAGGCAGGGCUGACACUCUGUAUCGGACCAAUGAUGAGCCUUACUUUUGUAAUAUGUAUGAGCCUUAUUACUGCUAUUAUAAAAGCAUGUCUAUCGUAUCAAUAAAUCGAGACU
Long non-coding RNA from Cuculus canorus (common cuckoo), 922 nucleotides. RefSeq lists it as uncharacterized. The transcript is spliced from 5 exons. The record is from RefSeq and is a predicted model, not a curated record. NCBI's taxonomy places the organism in Eukaryota, Metazoa, Chordata, Aves, Cuculiformes, Cuculidae.